Long non-coding RNA from Octopus sinensis (East Asian common octopus), 203 nucleotides. RefSeq lists it as uncharacterized. NCBI's taxonomy places the organism in Eukaryota, Metazoa, Mollusca, Cephalopoda, Octopoda, Octopodidae. The record is from RefSeq and is a predicted model, not a curated record. The transcript has 3 exons.
CUGUGCAGUAGUUUAUGGUGAUCACUCCAAACACCAUGAAGUUGACUGGAUGUUUGAUUUUCAUCAUUCUCUGUACAUGUUUUGGGAACACAGCAAGCCAACGAUUGUUCUGUGUGUUCACCAUCUGUUCGUAAUGGAGCUUACGGCACGAAUGCCAAGAAGUACAGCAUGUUGUUUCCAAAUUUCUGGCAGAGUGAAUUGUA